Non-coding RNA from Mycena leptocephala, 93 nucleotides. The record is from the annotation of a GenBank genome assembly. Lineage: Eukaryota; Fungi; Basidiomycota; Agaricomycetes; Agaricales; Mycenaceae.
GCCUUCGUGGAUCAACGGUAGAUCAUCUCGUCCGUUGUGAUUAACUCGAUCCUGGAUUAUGAGACCGCGGGGGUUCGAAUCCCCCUGAAGGCA